RNAcentral lists this ribosomal RNA (534 nucleotides) under uncultured bacterium. RNAcentral's name for it is "bacterial SSU rRNA". It matches the Rfam family "Bacterial small subunit ribosomal RNA", at positions 37 to 537 of the family's 1533-position model. The record is from RNAcentral.
AUCCUGGCUAGAUUGAACGCUGGCGGCAGGCCUAACACAUGCAAGUCGAGCGGUAGAGAGAAGCUUGCUUCUCUUGAGAGCGGCGGACGGGUGAGUAAUGCCUAGGAAUCUGCCUGGUAGUGGGGGAUAACGUUCGGAGACGGACGCUAAUACCGCAUACGUCCUACGGGAGAAAGCAGGGGACCUUCGGGCCUUGCGCUAUCAGAUGAGCCUAGGUCGGAUUAGCUAGUUGGUGAGGUAAUGGCUCACCAAGGCGAUGAUCCGUAACUGGUCUGAGAGGAUGAUCAGUCACACUGGAACUGAGACACGGUCCAGACUCCUACGGGAGGCAGCAGUGGGGAAUAUUGGACAAUGGGCGAAAGCCUGAUCCAGCCAUGCCGCGUGUGUGAAGAAGGUCUUCGGAUUGUAAAGCACUUUAAGUUGGGAGGAAGGGCAGUUACCUAAUACGUGAUUGUUUUGACGUUACCGACAGAAUAAGCACCGGCUAACUCUGUGCCAGCCGCCGCGGUAAUACAAGCCGAAUUCCACCCCCUA